This 194-nucleotide unclassified non-coding RNA is filed under the name uncultured Paecilomyces. RNAcentral's name for it is "sequence contains ITS1". Lineage: Eukaryota; Fungi; Ascomycota; Eurotiomycetes; Eurotiales; Thermoascaceae. The record is from RNAcentral.
CCGAGUUAUACAACUCCCAAACCCGUGUGAACUUAUACCAUACCGUUGCUUCGGCGGGCUUCGACGCCCGGGACCGCACCCGCACUCCAGGCCUCGCCGGACGCGGCAGGCCCCGGGGGCGCGCCCGCCGGAGGACCCAAACUCUUCUGUAUCUACGCUACGCAUGUCUGAGUGGAUUUAAUAUCAAUGAAUCA